RNAcentral lists this long non-coding RNA (515 nucleotides) under Homo sapiens (human). RNAcentral describes it as "non-protein coding lnc-TMEM201-2:1". Lineage: Eukaryota; Metazoa; Chordata; Mammalia; Primates; Hominidae. The record is from RNAcentral.
CUGCCUUGACCUCACGUGCAGCAAUUAGGACCACCAAGGAGUGUUCUUCAAACCACCUUCUACCACCCCGCGGGACACGCCAGGGCUGAUUCUGGUGCUCGCACCCCGCUUCCUCCUCUGCGUUCCCCUGUGGCAAAGAUAAGGAGUCAGGCCAGGGCGGGAUGACACUCAUUGAUUCUAAAGCAUCUUUAAUCUGCCAGGCGGAGGGGGCUUUGCUGGUCUUUCUUGGACUAUUCCAGAGAGCCAAAGGAAGACUUCUCUGUAGGACUAGCACACCCAGAGGAAGAGAGUGACCCAAAUUGGUGCUAGGAGCGAAUGAAUGGGGAAGUGAACUAGACCUCAGCCAUUCCCAGGAGAGAGAUGCUGCUGCCUGGGAAAAGAAGGAAUGGCUUUGCUUUGAGGAGUCCUGGAGCCCAUUACUAAGCUGCAGCAUUUGGUAUUUGACUCACACUGGCCACGGUAGCGUUGGACUCGCCUGACUGGGGAGAGAAAUAUUAAAAGUUUUCUGGAGGAAA